Molecule: long non-coding RNA, 641 nt
Filed under: Numida meleagris (helmeted guineafowl)
Lineage: Eukaryota; Metazoa; Chordata; Aves; Galliformes; Numididae
Description: lncRNA (ENSNMEG00000015143.1)
Source: RNAcentral
AUGUGGCACAUGGGGACGUGGUCAGCGGGCACGUCCCAUGGGAUGAGGUUGGGCUUGGGGAUCUUGGAGGUCUUCUCCAACCUCAGUGAUUCUACGAUUCUCUGUUUCUGUGAUGCUAUGCCCAUGUCACAGGCACCCCAUGCGACAGCCCCGUGGGUGCUUGCCUGGUGCGUGCGGACAGACAGAGCUGCUGGCCUCGGAACAGCUGCGUCCCCGAGUCACUUAUGGAACCAAGCCAAGAGAAGCUCAGAGACAAGCAUGAUAUCCCCAAAGCCUUUUUCUGCCUCCAAGUGACAAACUGAAAAGGCUGUUCCCAUUUGCAGAGAAGACCUUCGCUUUAGCAUCACGACCAAGUCUUCACGGAAGUCUACUUCAGCUCAAUACAUUGAUCACCAGAUUCAAUUCCUGAUUAUCUGAAGAUGUGCGACUGCUUUGUCUGUACGCUGACCCGAGCCACAAACCUGCCACUUAAAAAAGAUUUGUUAAUGAGAUUUCAGUGCCACUGGACCCUUAGCAUUUCUUUUUGCCUAUAAACUCAUUUUAUUGUUCUACCGUCGUGAGGAAAACGGCUGCAUUUGUCUUGGAAUGAAAAAUACUACCCUUUGAAUAAAUAGCUGAUGAAUAAAAAACUUUAAAAAUUA